UCUGUUUAGAGUAACUAUAUUUUGUCUCCACUUUUUAAGUUUAUCACUUUAUCAUGUAUUGGUUUAAUUUCCCCUGUACCUGUCACCUUGCAAGCAGAAGUAAGUUUUAAUUACAUGCAUCAUCCUGAACUACUUUGAAAAAUCAAAUUCUGACUAGUUCUAAAUGUAGUUUUCUUUCUUCAUUUUUUGUUUUGGGGACAUGACUCUUCUUGAAGCAGAUAGGAGAGUGUUAGGCUCAAGAGUUUGAACACUUAAACAAAAUCUAACUUCUGCUAAUUAUUUCUUCCUAACAAGGAUUUUUCCUCCCUCAAACACUGCAGAAACAAUCCACUACCUCAUAAUGAACAUAUUACUCACCACUUCUCUAUCUAUUUUUACACAAAUAACUCUCACCACAAGUAGAUAACUGUGUUACAAANAAUGGAGACCACUCAAAUAAUUGUCAGACCAAAUAGUGUACUGUCCUGUAACAUUCAGCAAUAACUAAUUAGACAUCAUAAGAUUCCAUUGUCCUUUUAUUCCUCAGGACCCAUUUUAUGAACAGGAUAAAAUAUGAUAAUUGUUCUAUCAUAUUGUAAUGGGUAAUGAUACUUUGACAACUUGCUUUUGACAAAUUUUUGACACCCAAUACGUGUCACGAUUUGAUUAGUCCAUGUGUGAAAAAAAANUUAAAAACCAAAAUGACAUGGAAAUGAAGGGCUGCAGAGAUUUUUAAGGGUUUCAAGUCGCNGACUUAAUUUAGGGAUUUCAAAAAUAAAACAUUACUUUAACUUGAGUGAACCCUAGAGAAAAAGAGCAGUCGAAGCGUCUUGUGAGCAAAACCUUACUUUGACGAAGUUUCUACCGUUCAGCGAAUCGUGACCGUCCAUAGAAGGACUUUCUGCCGUCGUUCUGCUGUUUGGAAGCAGCAAUGGCCACCUUUCCACCGCCUUUNUGUCGUUCUGCCGCCGUUCAUUUCGCCAAUCCUUAUUGAACAAAGUCUCAAAUAGUGAAUGAUUUGGGUGUUACAAACAAGCUCUUUCAGCUUAGUUACAUAUUAGGAGAUGUUGAAAAGUUUGCAACAAAGAUGAUGCUUUCUGUUGUUGAACAUGAAGUUUCAUGGGUCUUUUGCAACCUGGACCUGGACCUACUGAACAUAGAGCCAAGGCAGAGAUGCAUUGCUAUUUUUCUUGUGACCCUCUAGUGUAUCUUCCUUGUGAUGAAACUGACCAUGCUUCGUAGAAUUCUGUCUCAUUGAAGACUGAGAGGGAGAAGAAGAAAGAGACGCCAUGGACGCUAUCCAAGUUUUAAAUAUUNAUUGCUUCCAUAGCGUCCAGCUUUUAAGUUAUGCAGUUACAAUUCUUCCCCACUUGAAAUUAUGUGUUCCUAGCUCACCUCAUUUGAGUGCCUGAA
Molecule: long non-coding RNA, 1392 nt
Organism: Vigna radiata var. radiata (mung bean)
Lineage: Eukaryota; Viridiplantae; Streptophyta; Magnoliopsida; Fabales; Fabaceae
Exons: 3
Source: RefSeq, a predicted model, not a curated record